GACGAACGCUGGCGGCGUGCUUAACACAUGCAAGUCGAACGGAAAGGCGCUGCUUUUGUGGGGUGCUCGAGUGGCGAACGGGUGAGUAACACGUGAGUAACCUGCCCUUGACUUUGGGAUAACUUCAGGAAACUGGGGCUAAUACCGGAUAGGAGCUCCUGCUGCAUGGUGGGGGUUGGAAAGUGUCGGCGGUUGGGGAUGGACUCGCGGCUUAUCAGCUUGUUGGUGUGGUAGUGGCUUACCAAGGCUUUGACGGGUAGCCGGCCUGAGAGGGUGACCGGCCACAUUGGGACUGAGAUACGGCCCAGACUCCUACGGGAGGCAGCAGUGGGGAAUAUUGCACAAUGGGCGGAAGCCUGAUGCAGCAACGCCGCGUGCGGGAUGACGGCCUUCGGGUUGUAAACCGCUUUCGAAUGUGACGAAGCGUGAGUGACGGUAAUGGGUAAAGAAGCACCGGCUAACUACGUG
RNAcentral lists this ribosomal RNA (468 nucleotides) under uncultured bacterium. RNAcentral describes it as "partial 16S ribosomal RNA". It matches the Rfam family "Bacterial small subunit ribosomal RNA", at positions 28 to 507 of the family's 1533-position model. The record is from RNAcentral.